GACGAACGCUGGCGGCGUGCUUAACACAUGCAAGUCGAGCGGAAAGGCCCUUCGGGGUACUCGAGCGGCGAACGGGUGAGUAACACGUGAGUAACCUGCCCUCAACUUCGGGAUAAGCCUGGGAAACUGGGUCUAAUACCGGAUAUGACUACUUCGGGCAUCCGAUGGUGGUGGAAAGUUUUUCGGUUGGGGAUGGGCUCGCGGCCUAUCAGCUUGUUGGUGGGGUGAUGGCCUACCAAGGCGACGACGGGUAGCCGGCCUGAGAGGGCGACCGGCCACACUGGGACUGAGACACGGCCCAGACUCCUACGGGAGGCAGCAGUGGGAAUCUUGCGCAAUGGGCGAAAGCCUGACGCAGCGACGCCGCGUGAGGGAUGACGGCC
This 383-nucleotide ribosomal RNA is filed under the name uncultured bacterium. RNAcentral describes it as "bacterial SSU rRNA". It matches the Rfam family "Bacterial small subunit ribosomal RNA", at positions 28 to 416 of the family's 1533-position model. The record is from RNAcentral.